CAAAGUGGCUGCUGUUGAGAGAGGCGAUGUUGCAGCGAACAUCCUGGCACCACUGUUUUUCCUCAGUUAUAUACGACCAUGAGAAUCAUGUCUGUUGGGGCUUCAAAAACUAAAUCAACCCAAAUAUAUAACAAAAGAAGCAUGAGAGAAGUGUGAAAAUCAAGAAUGGAGUUUUCAUUUUCUGAAUUCAAGAUUCCUCUAUUUUCAGAAGAUCAAAUGAGGAACUGUCACCUUGCAGGGAACAGCUGUUUUCUGUGGCAGAUGGGAAGAAGGGAUGUGGCCAAUGACAAUUAUCCCUUAAAGCUGCCCCGGAAUUGACACGUCUCUUUGCUCCUACCUCUUUGAAUGAACUAGUCUCAUGCCCAUGCUGACUCCAAGGGGCCAAGAGAUGCAAUCCAACCAUCUGACUGGGACGAACCAGACCCAUGGUGAAGAGAACAAGUUUAUUUCCAGUGCUAUGUGUCCUAGCUCUGUAAGCACGAUGGAAGAAGUUGAAGACAAAGCAAGAUUAUGAAACCUAUGCAAGAUAACCCCCUAGCACGCAGUCCCGAUGCUCACAUGUUUCAGAGAUGGUUGAUAGAAGAUCUAUGUACUCAAGAGUUUCUGCAUCAAGGCCCUUUUCUAUUGACUUGCUAUUUGCAAAUGGUCUUGAUGAGGCACUACUAAGGGGUUCGCCAGAGAAACAGAGCCAAUAGGAGAUACAUGUGAUUAUUGAAGCUGAGACGUCCUAUGACCUGCCAUCUGCAAGCUGGAGACCCAGGAAAGCCAAUGUCAUAAUUCAGUCUGAGUCUAAAAACCUGAGGACCAGGAGAGCAGAUGGUAUAAAUCCCAGUCUGAGGGCAGGAGAAGAUGAGAUGAGAUGUCCCAGUUCAAACAGUGAGGCAGAGAUAAAAGGUGAAAAUUCCUCAUUCUUUUGACUUUUGUUCUAUCCAGCCCCUCAGGUGAUUAGAUGAGGCCCACCCACAUUGGGGAGGACAGUCUGCUUUACUUGAUUAUACCAAUUCAAAUGCUAAUCUCACCUGGAAACACCCUCACAGACACACCCAGAAAUAAUGCUCAAUCUGGGUGCCUUGUGGCCCAGUCAAGUUGGCACAUAAGAUUAACUAUCACACACACACACACGUAUAAAAUGAUACAGCCUCAGUUACACAGGGCUCCAGCUUGCUCUUGGGAAGGUGCCGGAGCAGUUUGUUGAGCGCAUGUUUGGUUGCCUACCAUAUGAGUUUCCCACUGACUACUCAUUAUAAG
Molecule: long non-coding RNA, 1248 nt
Filed under: Equus caballus (horse)
Lineage: Eukaryota; Metazoa; Chordata; Mammalia; Perissodactyla; Equidae
Description: lncRNA (ENSECAG00000042521.2)
Source: RNAcentral